GAUGAACGCUGGCGGCGUGCCUAAUACAUGCAAGUCGAGCGAACGGACGAGAAGCUUGCUUCUCUGAUGUUAGCGGCGGACGGGUGAGUAACACGUGGAUAACCUACCUAUAAGACUGGGAUAACUUCGGGAAACCGGAGCUAAUACCGGAUAAUAUUUUGAACCGCAUGGUUCAAAAGUGAAAGACGGUCUUGCUAUCACUUAUAGAUGGAUCCGCGCUGCAUUAGCUAGUUGGUAAGGUAACGGCUUACCAAGGCAACGAUGCAUAGCCGACCUGAGAGGAUGAUCGGCCACACUGGAACUGAGACACGGUCCAGACUCCUACGGGAGGCAGCAGUAGGGAAUCUUCCGCAAUGGGCGAAAGCCUGACGGAGCAACGCCGCGUGAGUGAUGAAGGUCUUCGGAUCGUAAAACUCUGUUAUUAGGGAAGAACAUAUGUGUAAGUAACUGUGCACAUCUUGACGGUACCUAAUCAGAAAGCCACGGCUAACUACGUG
Molecule: ribosomal RNA, 497 nt
Filed under: uncultured bacterium
Lineage: Bacteria
Description: partial 16S ribosomal RNA
Rfam family: Bacterial small subunit ribosomal RNA
Source: RNAcentral